GACCGACCAUUCCAGGACUUUUCCGACUUCCGACCUUGUGUGGCGUCUCUCUGAACCCCCUCGACUGUCUGAGCUUCCAUAAUACCAUCCGGACUUCUCCAACAAUGAGCUUCUCCAUCCAUCUACCGAGCCACUCCAAAGGCUCUCUGGGCCUCACUAUCAGCCGACCUUCUACAGUGAUCAACUAUUCUCUGAACUUCUUUCGGACUUCGUC
RNAcentral lists this long non-coding RNA (214 nucleotides) under Elaeis guineensis (African oil palm). RNAcentral describes it as "long non-coding RNA (EGUI_LNC055350)". The record is from RNAcentral. Lineage: Eukaryota; Viridiplantae; Streptophyta; Magnoliopsida; Arecales; Arecaceae.